Molecule: unclassified non-coding RNA, 1384 nt
Filed under: Pomacea canaliculata
Lineage: Eukaryota; Metazoa; Mollusca; Gastropoda; Architaenioglossa; Ampullariidae
Description: zinc phosphodiesterase ELAC protein 1-like, transcript variant X3
Source: RNAcentral
GGCUGAAAUUCCGUCCAGUGUGUGUGUGUGUUUCAGCUGCUAGAAGAAGCAGACGACAGAAGUGAAGUGACUUCAGAUCACCUGCGUAUUUUACUUAUUAGCAGUAGACUAAUGUUGUGUAAUGGCGCAUACCGCUGCUGUUUAACCAAUCUUUACAACUAUUGAAAAUGGCAAUAGGCGACCACAAUGUUCCUAUCAGUGAUAUGGAGCUCUGAGGUCGCCAUCUUGACGCAUUUUUAGACCCAGAAGGACCUCCGCUUAAUUGUAGGCAGAUUUGUAUGCAUUGAGUCAAAUCCCUGAGGCGUUCAAUCAACAUCUCUUCAAUGAACAUGGAAUUAACUUUCCUGGGAACUGCAUCAGCAUACCCAACCCCGACACGCAGCGUGUCUUGCACAGCUCUUCGUUACAAAGACUGGGUGUGGCUUUUUGACUGUGGUGAGGGAUCACAGAUUCAGCUGAUGAAAAGCAGUCUUAAGCCUGGUAAAGUUAGCAAAAUUUUCAUCUCACACCUUCAUGGGGAUCAUCUCUUUGGCCUUCCAGGACUCCUGUGCACUGUAAGCCAGAACAACCAACGAUCAGAGCCUGUGGAGAUUUAUGGCCCUCUUGGAUUGCGUGCAUAUCUUCAGACAACCCUUGGGGUAUCCCAUUCAGAGAUGGGCUUUACAUUUACUGUCCAUGAACUGGUUCCAGUAUCACAGCAGCUGCCACCAGAUAUUUGGGAAAUAGAAAAGACUGCCAACUCCUUGCCACAUCCAAAUGAAGUACCAGGAAAGAGAAUUGAAUGUAACGACAAUUUAGUCUGGAAUGUUUUCUCAGACAAGGGUUUUGUGGUGCAGGCAGUAUGGGUUAAACAUCGAGUCCCAAGCUUUGCUUAUGUUGUCAAGGAAAAUGAUCGUCCAGGCAAACUAGAUGCAAAUAAACUGAAAUCUCUGGGUGUACCUGCUGGGCCUCUUUAUGGCAAGCUUAAAGGUGGUGAAGUUGUACAUCUGGCGGAUGGCACUCAGAUCAAGCCAAAAGAUGUGAUGGGACCACCCCAGGCAGGCUAUAUUAUUGCCAUUGGUGGCGACUCCAGUGAUUCCUCAGAACUCCUAAAAAUAGCUUGUGGUUCCCAUGUCCUGAUACAUGAAGCCACUUUGGAAAAUGCUAUGGAGGAACUCUGUAUACAAAAAGGGCAUUCCACACCUAACAGCAUGAGGAAAAAGCAUUGAGAGCAGCACAUGAUGCCUAUUAUUUGCAGGAAUGGCAGGUUUGUUGGCAAAACAACUGGGAGUAAAGCAACUCAUUUUAACACACUUCAGUCAGCGCUACAAGCCCUUGUCAUGCAACACUGAGCCAGGAGAGGCCAGCGUGCGGAUACUGCUUCAGGAGGCUCAAGAAGCAUUUG